UGCCAGCAGCCGCGGUAAUACAGAGGGUGCAAGCGUUAAUCGGAAUGACUGGGCGUAAAGGGCGUGUAGGUGGACUGAUAAGUCAAAGGUGAAAUCCCCGGGCUCAACCUGGGAACUGCCUCUGAAACUGUGAGUCUAGAGUAUAGGAGAGGAAAGUGGAAUUUCCGGUGUAGCGGUGAAAUGCGUAGAUAUCGGAAGGAACACCAGUGGCGAAGGCGGCUUUCUGGCCUAAUACUGACACUGAAACGCGAAAGCGUGGGUAGCGAACAGGAUUAGAUG
Molecule: ribosomal RNA, 279 nt
Filed under: uncultured bacterium
Lineage: Bacteria
Description: partial 16S ribosomal RNA
Rfam family: Bacterial small subunit ribosomal RNA
Source: RNAcentral